UGGGGAAUCUUGCGCAAUGGGCGAAAGCCUGACGCAGCGACGCCGCGUGGGUGAUGAAGGCCUUCGGGUUGUAAAGCUCUUUGGGUGGAGACGAAUAAGUCGUAGCUAACACCUACGAUGAUGACGGUAUCCACAUAACAAGCACCGGCUAACUCUGUGCCAGCAGCCGCGGUAAGACAGAGGGUGCAAACGUUGUUCGGAAUUACUGGGCGUAAAGCGCAUGUAGGCGGCCAAGCAGGUCGGAUGUGAAAUCCCUCGGCUCAACCAAGGAAGUGCAUUCGAAACCGCAUGGCUAGAGUCCCGGAGAGGAAGGUGGAAUUCUCGGUGUAGAGGUGAAAUUCGUAGAUAUCGAGAGGAACACCUGUGGCGAAAGCGGCCUUCUGGACGAGGACUGACGCUGAGAUGCGAAAGCGUGGGGAGCAAACAGGAUUAGAUACCCCCGUAGUCC
Molecule: ribosomal RNA, 448 nt
Filed under: uncultured bacterium
Lineage: Bacteria
Description: bacterial SSU rRNA
Rfam family: Bacterial small subunit ribosomal RNA
Source: RNAcentral